This 304-nucleotide unclassified non-coding RNA is filed under the name plant metagenome. RNAcentral's name for it is "partial contains 5.8S ribosomal RNA, internal transcribed spacer 2, and large subunit ribosomal RNA". The stretch from base 1 to 104 matches the Rfam family "5.8S ribosomal RNA", at positions 51 to 154 of the family's 154-position model. The record is from RNAcentral.
AAAUGCGAUAAGUAAUGUGAAUUGCAGAAUUCAGUGAAUCAUCGAAUCUUUGAACGCACAUUGCGCCCGCCAGUAUUCUGGCGGGCAUGCCUGUUCGAGCGUCAUUUCAACCAUCAAGCCCCCGGCUUGUGUUGGGGACCUGCGGCUGCCCGCAGGCCCUGAAAAACAGUGGCGGGCUCGCUGUCACACCGAGCGUAGUAGCAUACAUUCUCGCUCAGGGCGUGCUGCGGGUUCCGGCCGUUAAACGACCUUCAUAACCCAAGGUUGACCUCGGAUCAGGUAGGAAGACCCGAUGAACUUAAGC